UACGUAGGGUGCGAGCGUUGUCCGGAAUUAUUGGGCGUAAAGCGCGUGUAGGCGGCUUUGCAAGUCGGGUGUGAAAGCCCUCGGCUCAACCGAGGAAGUGCGCCCGAAACUGCAGAGCUUGAGUACCGGAGAGGAUGGCGGAAUUCCCCAAGUAGAGGUGAAAUUCGUAGAUAUGGGGAGGAACACCGGUGGCGAAGGCGGCCAUCUGGACGGAUACUGACGCUGAGACGCGAAAGCGUGGGGAGCAAACAGG
This 253-nucleotide ribosomal RNA is filed under the name uncultured bacterium. RNAcentral describes it as "partial 16S ribosomal RNA". It matches the Rfam family "Bacterial small subunit ribosomal RNA", at positions 524 to 776 of the family's 1533-position model. The record is from RNAcentral.